Amaranthus tricolor (Joseph's coat) is the source of this 395-nucleotide long non-coding RNA. RefSeq lists it as uncharacterized. The record is from RefSeq and is a predicted model, not a curated record. NCBI's taxonomy places the organism in Eukaryota, Viridiplantae, Streptophyta, Magnoliopsida, Caryophyllales, Amaranthaceae. The transcript is spliced from 3 exons.
CUCUCACAACAUUUUUGAGAGUGUGUAGUUGCCAUGUCUGUGAAAAUGCAGAAUAUGAAACAUUGAGUUUGCGAAAAAUAUGUGACUAAAGAAGCAUGGAGAAGACUCGAAGAAACUCACUCAAAGUUGCACAAUUGUAGAAUCAACCAGUUGCUUUUUGGCAUUUUUCCUGGCGAUGUAUCCCUUCCAAUGUGCCUACAACAUAUAUACACUAUUGGUCACUGAGCUAAAACAUAGGUUGUGAUUUGAAGCAUGGAGAUGAAGAGAGGAAGAACCUGCAUUGCGUAUAAAUCAUUGAAAUGAGCAACAAUAAGCUGACUCGGAUAGUCAAAAGAAACUUGUGAAGAUUUACAAAGGAAACAGAGGCAGUCAAAGAAAGAAUGUUGCAGAAACCU